RNAcentral lists this ribosomal RNA (474 nucleotides) under uncultured bacterium. RNAcentral describes it as "bacterial SSU rRNA". It matches the Rfam family "Bacterial small subunit ribosomal RNA", at positions 25 to 518 of the family's 1533-position model. The record is from RNAcentral.
CAGGACGAACGCUGGCGGCAUGCUUCAUACAUGCAAGUCGAACGAUAAGGUCUCUUCGGAGAUACAUAAGUGGCGGACGGGUGAGUAAUAUGUAGGAAAUCUGCCCUUGAGAGGGGGGCAACGGUUGGAAACGACCGCUAAUACCCCAUAUGAGCGUACCUGAAAUGGUACUCUUGAAAACUCCGGUGCUCAAGGAUGAGCCUGCAUCUGAUUAGCUUGUUGGCGGUGUAAUGGACCACCAAGGCGACGAUCAGUAGCUGGUUUGAGAGGAUGAUCAGCCACAAUGGGACUGAGACACGGCCCAUACUCCUACGGGAGGCAGCAGUAGGGAAUUUUGCGCAAUGGGCGAAAGCCUGAACCGCAGCAAUGCCGCGUGAACGUAGAAGCCCUUCGGGGUGUAAAGUUCUGUCAGUAGGGACGAAUUUUGACGGUACCUACAGAGGAAGCACCGGCUAACUCCGUGCCAGCCGCAGC